AUGGAAAUGAAUAAACCAGCCACAAGUAUUCACAGCAAGCGUUCUCAGCGUGAACGUGACGAGGCUUUAUAUGACUUCAGGACUGGCAAGUAUCCUGUCCUGGUGGCGACAGGUGUCAUGGCCCGUGGACUGGAUGUACCCGCUGUACAGUUGG
This is a long non-coding RNA of Eurytemora carolleeae, 154 nucleotides long. RefSeq lists it as uncharacterized. The record is from RefSeq and is a predicted model, not a curated record. The transcript has 2 exons. Lineage: Eukaryota; Metazoa; Arthropoda; Copepoda; Calanoida; Temoridae.